UAGAGUUUGAUCCUGGCUCAGAGCGAACGCUGGCGGCAGGCUUAACACAUGCAAGUCGAGCGCCGUAGCAAUACGGAGCGGCAGACGGGUGAGUAACACGUGGGAACGUACCUUUUGGUUCGGAACAACCCAGGGAAACUUGGGCUAAUACCGGAUAAGCCCUUACGGGGAAAGAUUUAUCGCCGAAAGAUCGGCCCGCGUCUGAUUAGCUAGUUGGUGAGGUAACGGCUCACCAAGGCGACGAUCAGUAGCUGGUCUGAGAGGAUGAUCAGCCACACUGGGACUGAGACACGGCCCAGACUCCUACGGGAGGCAGCAGUGGGGAAUAUUGGACAAUGGGCGCAAGCCUGAUCCAGCCAUGCCGCGUGAGUGAUGAAGGCCCUAGGGUUGUAAAGCUCUUUUGUGCGGGAAGAUAAUGACUGUACCGCAAGAAUAAGCCCCGGCUAACUUCGUGCCAGCAGCCCCGGUCAA
This 471-nucleotide ribosomal RNA is filed under the name uncultured bacterium. RNAcentral's name for it is "bacterial SSU rRNA". It matches the Rfam family "Bacterial small subunit ribosomal RNA", at positions 1 to 524 of the family's 1533-position model. The record is from RNAcentral.